AGAGUUUGAUCCUGGCUCAGAACGAACGCUGGCGGCAUGCCUAACACAUGCAAGUCGAACGCUUCUCUUCGGAGAGGAGUGGCGCACGGGUGAGUAACGCGUGGGAACCUGCCUUGGAGUGGGGGAUAACCGAUGGAAACGUCGGCUAAUACCGCAUACGUCCUGAGGGAGAAAGAUUUAUCGCUCUGAGAGGGGCCCGCGUCGGAUUAGCUAGUUGGUGGGGUAACGGCCUACCAAGGCGAUGAUCCGUAGCUGGUCUGAGAGGAUGAUCAGCCACACUGGGACUGAGACACGGCCCAGACUCCUACGGGAGGCAGCAGUGGGGAAUAUUGGACAAUGGGCGCAAGCCUGAUCCAGCAAUGCCGCGUGAGUGAUGACGGCCUUAGGGUUGUAAAGCUC
This 399-nucleotide ribosomal RNA is filed under the name uncultured bacterium. RNAcentral describes it as "bacterial SSU rRNA". It matches the Rfam family "Bacterial small subunit ribosomal RNA", at positions 8 to 433 of the family's 1533-position model. The record is from RNAcentral.